This is a long non-coding RNA of Pocillopora damicornis (cauliflower coral), 1208 nucleotides long. NCBI's taxonomy places the organism in Eukaryota, Metazoa, Cnidaria, Anthozoa, Scleractinia, Pocilloporidae. The record is from RefSeq and is a predicted model, not a curated record.
UAGUUAAAACUACUUACUGGUACUUAGAAUUACUUUAUUAAGAUUUUUACAACCAUAGGUAAGUGCCUUGCCAAACAUUAUUUCAGAGUAUGUGGGAGUAUUCAUUUUAAAUGGCAGGUUCAAGCCUUGAAUUAAUUUUCGAAAAUAAUUUGUUGCAAAGUGAUAUUAAACAUGUCACACAUCAUAUACAUUAUUUAUCAUGAAUAUGCUCCUUUGGUCACUGAGGCAAAAUGAGAUCAAUAUGAAAUAUAUAAUUUAGUUUUAUUUACCAGUGGCUUUACAAAUUUCUUGUUUAUCUUUAGGUGGUUCACCCUUUCCACAAAUAGAUGGCAGGAAAAUUGCCAACUAACUUCAGCAAGGAUAAAGAAUGCCUAAAUCACAACCUGUGGAGAUAAGUUGCAAGUUGGUGUACCCCUUGUUUGUCCUGAAGACUUCACUGUUUAAAAAACUGAUGCCAAAUAUAUCAUGGCAAACAUUUUCCAUUCAUCAUUUGUUUUUAGCUCCUUCCAAGAUAGCUUAUGUUGGGCCACACAUGAUUGAUGUCCUAAUUGUUAAUUUCCUGAUUUAAUUUGAAUAUUUUAAUGGCUAAGAAGCAUAUUCCAUUUCACAAACACCAAGUACCAGAUCAUGAUGAGAUGCUGGAAAUAUGACCUGGAUGCAAGACUACAUCCACUGACUUAUGAAAGAUAAGGAAAUCUUACAUAAGGUGGGGAUUUAUUUACACUUUGUUAUAUUUCUUCAUUUCUGUUUUAUUUCCAGUGUAAUUAAAUUAAAUCAGUAAGAAUAAAUAAAUAAAUAAACAAAUUUGACCUGCCUCAAUUAUCAUUUGCUAUCCACGGGUCAAAGGAAUAUCUUGUAAUAUGUAAGAAAAUGAAAAAUAGAAGUGUGAAAAGUGUGAAAGUGUGUGUGUUUCAAGGACAAAGGCUAAUAGCAUGGACUUGAUUAAGAAAUUCAUCGACGUGAAAAUUUACGACAAGCAGCUCAACGCAAACGUCGACGAUUUCGUCGUGGAGACUUUCCUUUGAAGUCUCAAUUUACCUAUGAUUCUCCCGCUUUCUGUUUGCUGUAACUUAACAUGUUGGUCGACUCUUUAUUUAAGCACCUCUCUUGUAAAGAAAAUUUGUAAACAACUUUCGAAGUUGCAAUUUUUCACGGCGCACCUGUAUCCUUCGCUUUCAAAUGAUUAUUUAAAACACCAAACAAAAUCA